GACGAACGCUGGCGGCGUGCUUAACACAUGCAAGUCGAACGAAGUGGCGAACGGGUGAGUAACGCGUAAACAACCUGCCCUUCAGAGGGGGACAACAGUUGGAAACGACUGCUAAUACCGCAUACUGAAGGUGGGGAUUGCGUCUGUUUAGCUAGUUGGAGGGGUAACGGCCAACCAAGGCGAUGAUCAGUAGCCGGUCUGGGAGGGUGGACGGGCAACAUUGGACUGGGACACGGGCCCGGCUCCCACGGGGGGCAACAGUGGGGAAUCUUCCGCAAUGGGCGGAAGUCUGGCGGAGCAAAGCCGCGGGAGGUGUAACGGCCUGCGGGUUGUAAAGCUCUGUUAAUCGGGACGCGGUACCGGAAUAGAAAGCCACGGCUAACUACGUGCCAGCCGCCGCGGUAAUAC
RNAcentral lists this ribosomal RNA (408 nucleotides) under uncultured bacterium. RNAcentral describes it as "partial 16S ribosomal RNA". It matches the Rfam family "Bacterial small subunit ribosomal RNA", at positions 28 to 526 of the family's 1533-position model. The record is from RNAcentral.